ACGUCCACGUCAAAUUCCACUUUUGUCCAAAGAAGGGUAAAAUCGUCAAAUUACACCAAUGGAAAAGAAAUUACAAUGAGAACUAGGGAUGGGUCGUCACAAUCUACCCCCUUAAGAAAAUUUCGUCCCCAAAAUUUAAAAUCAUUUGCUACACAAAACUCGAAGAUAGGAAUAAUAAAAUAUAUGUACGUGACGAAGAAAUUAAGUUAGAGCGGUUGCACAAAAAGGGAAAAUGCCAUUCUGUUGAUCGGAUCAUAUUUAUAUAUAUUUUUACUUCGAAUUCACUCGUCUUUUCUUAGUUAGUUCCUUAUAUUUUUGAGCUAUUUACGUUAUUUUUGUGUUUUUAGGAUUUGUUAUGCAAAGAAAAUAAAAAUAGAACAAGUGAAAUUUUAUGUAAUAAAUUCGUCAAACUGUCUGUGUAGAUCAUCUUUUAAAUAAAAUUAAUAAAAGAAAUAAUAAUGAUAAAUCAUGAUGAUGUUUGAAACAUCAUCAUGAUUCAUGUUUUGUUGCAGAAAAAAUAAGAGGAAGUCCACAGCGUCGGUGGGGAAGAGGGAACGCAGAAAGGAAGUAUUUCGUAUAAAGUGAUGAGCAAUUUUUAAUGAGAUGGGUGCUCUUCCUAGACGUGGCAGCGUGAAAGAAUCCAAGGAGGUCAGGGGGUCCAAAAGGUGAGGCCUUGCAGCUGGUGAGGGAAAAGGAGAAGCGGAAAGAAUAAACGAAAAAAAAAAGAAAUGUGGAGAUAAUAACAAAAGGGAGGAGGGCAGGACAGAGAAGGAAAAAAUAAAAAGAUGGAAAGAGAGACAAGUGGGGGGAGUCAGUGAAAAAGAGGGCUGUUGGGGGCGAGAGAAGAAGAGGCUGCCUUGCGCAGCCUGAGCGCAGGAAACGGAGAGAAGACGUGCGGGAAAGAGAGAGACCACAGUGCACUGUGAUCAAGAAAACAGAAAAAAAAAAUAUAAAGGAGAAGGCUCCUUUGAGCAGCGGAAGAGAGGGGUGCGAAGGAGAGGCACAGAGAAAAGCAAGAAAAGAAAGAGUCAGGCGGAGAGACUGGCGCGGGGAGCAGCAAGGGCAGCGUGGGCACGAACGCAGCAGAUCAUCUAUUCUCGGUUAAAUCUUUCUAAAUUUAUAUUUUAUUUCUGUUUUAAUAAUGUGUAACUAAAUUUAUUUUGGCUAGAGGUUAAUUCAAAGCCAUGAAUAUAUUUGUAAUAUGAAUUGAUUACCUUCAGUUGUGAUUUCUAAGUUGUGAUUUAAUUUGCUUAACUGCUUGAUUGAUAACUUAUUUUUGUAUGUCGAUUAAGGAUGCAUACUUAAUUUACAUGCAUGAAUUUGAUGCUAGAAUAUAAAUGAAUUUCACCUAAUCGUUAUGAACUUAUAUUCACAAGUAGUGAAGGUUGUUAUCUACAAUCGUGUUAAGUAAAUUCUUGGCAAGAGUAUCAUGCUUUUCAUAGUUACGAAUGCCUCGUCAAUGCUUAUAGUUUUCACAAAGUUUAAUGAUCUUUGAUUGUAUCUCUAUUGUGCUUUUCACGUAGGGGACUUUUGAAGAAUGUUUUGAAUUGUUGUAUGCGUUUUCCCGUCCAAUUCAAUAACUUAAGGAAAACUUGAAGAUUAAAAAAGUGCUGUUCACGGUUAAUCUGAAGUGUUGAGAUUCACAACUUAUUGAAAGAACAACUGAAAAUCAAUUUAGGUUGCAUAUGUGUCAUGUGUGGAGAAGAACCCUCUAGCUAAUCCAUCACCUAUCCUUUCACCUUAAUUUCAUGUUUUUGUCAAUUCUGUAAUUUAUUUAAGUUUAAUUUACUUCUCAUCAAAACCAAACCCCCCAUUAUUAAAUUAUAUUAUUUAGUUAGUUUUCAUUGUUGUUAGUCUUUUAAUUCAAUUUCCGUCCAUUUCAAUUCCUAGUGUCUAUUUUGAUUGUUUUUAUUAUUUUGAGUCAUUUUAAGUGUGUUUCGAAUUAUUAGAGUUUUUAGCCUAGUUUUGUGUCCUUGAGUCUUGUUUAAUAUUUUUUACUUUGUUUUUUAUGUUUUUAAGAGGUUUUAGCAAGCCCUCCUAAUCCCCGGCCUAGAACGAUACCCUACUUAUACUUAUACUACAAUUGACAAAAAGAGGGUUUAAUUUUGUGUGUGAACUUAUUUUACGCAUCAAAUUUUGGCGCCGUUGCCGGGGAUUAGCAAAGUUGCUAAUCCCUUGUCUUAAGUCUUGUUUAAAUUGUUUAGUUUUUUUUUAUUUUUUUAUUUUUUUAUUUUUAUUUUUUAUUUUAUUAUUAUUUUAUUUUAUUUUAUUUUUUUAUAAUUACCCUGUUUUGUUUACUUAUGAUAUUUGAUUUAGUUUUAUUUCUUUGAUAUCAGGUACUAA
This 2343-nucleotide long non-coding RNA is filed under the name Malus domestica (apple). RNAcentral describes it as "long non-coding RNA (MDOM_LNC007594)". Lineage: Eukaryota; Viridiplantae; Streptophyta; Magnoliopsida; Rosales; Rosaceae. The record is from RNAcentral.